GCUCUAUGUGCAGACCAAUAUCUGAUUGGCUCUCUGCACCCGUCACUCACAGUUAGGCUCAAUGGCCUCCGCCAAAGGGAGGAGCUCGCCGGACGUUGGUGGUGCAGGCCUGUAGUCCACGAACUCGGGUGGUUGAGGCGGGAGGAUCGAGUUCAAGAUCAGCCGGAGUAAGAGAGCGAGACGAUGUCGUCUCAAAAAAGAAGCAAAUAAAAAGGUGGGGCUUCGGUUCUCACCCCGAGAGACCGCCCCGCAAAGAAAUGCUAUGGCAUAAUUAGUGAAAACAUGGCAUGAUUGGCGGAGGCGCAGCCUAUCGCAGGGCGGUGGUGAACUGGUUGCAGACGUUGAACCGCAGUCCAGAGGCCCAGCAGGGGAGAGAGCCUGGUGGUAAGAUGGGCGUCCUUCUGUGUAACUGAACGAGUUAACAAUAAAAUAAAGUUAGUGAAUCCUAUA
Molecule: non-coding RNA, 450 nt
Organism: Ictidomys tridecemlineatus (thirteen-lined ground squirrel)
Lineage: Eukaryota; Metazoa; Chordata; Mammalia; Rodentia; Sciuridae
Source: RefSeq, a predicted model, not a curated record